RNAcentral lists this ribosomal RNA (253 nucleotides) under uncultured bacterium. RNAcentral's name for it is "partial 16S ribosomal RNA". It matches the Rfam family "Bacterial small subunit ribosomal RNA", at positions 524 to 776 of the family's 1533-position model. The record is from RNAcentral.
UACGUAGGCAGCAAGCGUUGUUCGGAGUUACUGGGCGUAAAGCGUGUGUAGGCGGUUUGCCAAGUCCGGUGUGAAAUCUCCCGGCUCAACUGGGAGGGUGCGCCGGAAACUGGCAGGCUAGAGUGCGGGAGAGGAGAGCGGAAUUCCUGGUGUAGCGGUGAAAUGCGUAGAUAUCAGGAGGAACACCGGUGGUGUAGACGGCUCUCUGGACCGCUACUGACGCUGAGACACGAAAGCGUGGGGAGCAAACAGG